This 774-nucleotide ribosomal RNA is filed under the name uncultured Neocallimastigales. RNAcentral describes it as "partial large subunit ribosomal RNA". It matches the Rfam family "Eukaryotic large subunit ribosomal RNA", at positions 24 to 645 of the family's 3401-position model. The record is from RNAcentral. Lineage: Eukaryota; Fungi; Neocallimastigomycota; Neocallimastigomycetes; Neocallimastigales.
UAUGUGAUCGUCUCUCGCAUAUCAAUAAGCGGAGGAAAAGAAAAUAACAAUGAUUUCCCUAGUAACGGCGAGUGAAGAGGAAAGAGCUCAAAGUUGGAAACUGUUUGGCUUAGCUAAGCCGUAUUGUAAACUGUAGAAACAUUUUCCUGGCACGCCGGAUUAAUAAGUCCUUUGGAACAAGGCAUCAUGGAGGGUGAGAAUCCCGUCUUUGAUCCGAGUAGUUGUCUUUUGUGAUAUGUUUUCAAAGAGUCAGGUUGUUUGGGAAUGCAGCCUAAAUUGGGUGGUAAAUUUCAUCUAAAGCUAAAUAUUGCGAGAGACCGAUAGCGAACAAGUACCGUGAGGGAAAGAUGAAAAGAACUUUGAAAAGAGAGUUAAACAGUACGUGAAAUUGUCAAAAGGGAAGCGUUUGACACCAGUGUUGUUUUUCUGAAAAUCAAUUAAAGAACUGUUUAUGCUAAGUUGUUUAGACUUUAUCAGCUAACUGUUUAGUUUUGAGCUUUUCUUUAAUGCACUUUUCAGUUAACAAGUCAACAUCAAUUUCUUUUGCUGUAAAAAGCUUGAGGAAGGUGGCUUGAGAUUCGUCUUAAGUGUUUAUAGCCUCUUGCCUAUGCAGUCGGAGAGAUUGAGGUCUGCAGCGUAGAUCCUUCGGGGCUAAAUGCAUUUGUGCUAAGUUAUAGCAUUUUAUAGACAACUUGUUGACUAUGAUUUGUCUUGUAGCUUACUCGCUUAUGUUAUUUUACCUACGCUUAGGAUGUUGAAGUCAUCGUAUCGCGC